GUCAAGGUUUCAAGCUGUGAAGUUCACUGACCCAUUUGUGCUAAAAGGAGGGGAAAGAAAACAAAUAAAAAAACCCACUUGGUUCCAAACUGGUGGUGGUAGACUGAAAAUGAAGAUCACCCAAACAUAAGCCUUAUGUUUUCCUGUGCAGCAUGAUUUGAAGGCAUAUGCAGAUGCUGACCAAAGCCCUGCUUUCUCUGGGGAAUACAGGAUUUCCUGGCACUUACCUUCAUGAGGCUUGAUUAUCACUCACACAUGGCUGUGAAUGUCACUUCUCUUCAGGGCUAUAGUUCAAAAUUUUUCUUCCAGAGGAUGGAAGGCUGCUGUUCCUCAUUAGGAACUCAGAUAAUCAAUGGUAGGAGCCUGCAGUAGAGACUGGGAUGAGGAGAGCUUGACCGGCUCCUGCAGCAGCUGAAAACAAGUUGACUGACUGCCAAUGGCAGGUGGAAGCUUGGCAGAAGGAAGAGUUUAAGUCCAAAGAGAAGGUCUUGUCUGUGCAGACUGGAAAAUACUCUAGAGACUACUGAGAGACAAAGUAGAGAAAAACUCAGGUAUGAGCCGGUUUUGAGAACUGAAUGCAUUGUAAAGUUCAAAGAGGUGAAGAGAAGGAGCAGUCUCUGAGUAAGACAGCUAAAGAAGUGGAGGCUUUCUAGGAGGGUGGCUUGGAAAGCACGAGAGUGAGUGAGAGAGAGAGAGAUGAGUGAAAAGGGGUUUAAGGAAAAAAAUCUGGGGAGAGUCAGGUCAGGGAAGGCUCUUGCAUGAGGCAGUCUAGUAUUUGGAAACCAAGGUGUUUCCUGAACAGGUUUGGAUGUAUAAUGGUAGGAUUCUGAACAGAUUUUUUUUUGAGAAGUGGGGUGGUUCUAUUCGCUGGCAUAAAUGCGUUUCUUUAUUUCAUUCUUGGAUGCUUUUGCCAGGCCAUUUAAUAUACUAACACUUUUCUUUUGAAAAGCUUUCUCACCCCUGAUUAAUAUCUGUAUAAAAACCCCACAAUUUUAGUACACUUAGAUUUGGUCACAAAUGUGAUUUUCAUUUAAUGUUAAUUAGUGCAUCACCUGUUGCAGUCCUAAUUGGUUUCUAUCUGUCCUUUGGGCAAGGGUGUAAAUGUAGGAUCUUUGCAACUUGCUCUUCUAGGAAUCAGUCACUUUACAGUGCUGGCAAAUCACUGUUCUGAAGUAUAUCCUGGGGCAACAAUUGUCAGUUAAGAUCCAGCUAAGUUAAGCCAUUUAUUAUUUUAGAUCUUUGACUUCUUUCCAAACUAUGCCAUCACUAUUGUUU
Molecule: long non-coding RNA, 1275 nt
Filed under: Cyanistes caeruleus (blue tit)
Lineage: Eukaryota; Metazoa; Chordata; Aves; Passeriformes; Paridae
Description: lncRNA (ENSCCEG00000003322.1)
Source: RNAcentral